This 421-nucleotide ribosomal RNA is filed under the name uncultured bacterium. RNAcentral describes it as "bacterial SSU rRNA". It matches the Rfam family "Bacterial small subunit ribosomal RNA", at positions 355 to 774 of the family's 1533-position model. The record is from RNAcentral.
UAAGGAAUAUUGGUCAAUGGACGCAAGUCUGAACCAGCCAUGCCGCGUGAAGGAUGAAGGUCCUCUGGAUUGUAAACUUCUUUUAUCUGGGACGAAAACGGGAUUUUUAUCUCAAUUGACGGUACCAGAGGAAUAAGCACCGGCUAACUCCGUGCCAGCAGCCGCGGUAAUACGGAGGGUGCGAGCGUUAUCCGGAUUUACCGGGUUUAAAGGGUGCGUAGGUGGGCUUAUAAGUCAGUGGUGAAAUCUCCGGGCUUAACUUGGAAACUGCCGUUGAUACUAUAGGUCUUGAAUUAUCUGGAGGUAAGCGGAAUAUGUCAUGUAGCGGUGAAAUGCUUAGAUAUGACAUAGAACACCAAUUGCGAAGGCAGCUUACUACAUAUAAAUUGACGCUGAGGCACGAAAGCGUGGGGAUCAAACA